GUUGGCCACAGAAUGAAAGGCUGAUGUACGAGUGUUGUGUGCGUGUUCUUGACUGCAUUGGAAAGCGCGAGUGAGUGUUGUGUGAAUGCGGAGUGCGUGUUCUUUUACCCCCCCAAAAAAAACCUACACACUGAUCUUAUUUGAUCUGGUCGUAGUUUCGGCUAGACUGUGACCAGAAAUGAUAUAAGAAAGGCUCGCUAGCCUCCGUGGCAAUGUGCGGCAAUGCACGAAUGAAACCAUCGUGGCCUCCACGCUGUAAAGUUGUGGUUAGAAGUGAUGAAUCGAUCAGAUAUACUAGUUCGGAGUGUGUAUGGAUUAUUUCCAAAUAUCACAAUGGACAAUGAGUAAAGAAGCGAUUCUGAUCUGA
Non-coding RNA from Nerophis ophidion (straightnose pipefish), 367 nucleotides. RefSeq annotates it as small Cajal body-specific RNA 2. The record is from RefSeq and is a predicted model, not a curated record. Lineage: Eukaryota; Metazoa; Chordata; Actinopteri; Syngnathiformes; Syngnathidae. The transcript has a single exon.